This 492-nucleotide ribosomal RNA is filed under the name uncultured bacterium. RNAcentral describes it as "partial 16S ribosomal RNA". It matches the Rfam family "Bacterial small subunit ribosomal RNA", at positions 29 to 507 of the family's 1533-position model. The record is from RNAcentral.
AGUGAACGCUGGCGGUAGGCCUAACACAUGCAAGUCGAACGGCAGCACAGUAAGAGCUUGCUCUUACGGGUGGCGAGUGGCGGACGGGUGAGGAAUACAUCGGAAUCUACUUUUUCGUGGGGGAUAACGUAGGGAAACUUACGCUAAUACCGCAUACGACCUACGGGUGAAAGCAGGGGAUCUUCGGACCUUGCGCGAUUGAAUGAGCCGAUGUCGGAUUAGCUAGUUGGCGGGGUAAAGGGCCACCAAGGCGACGAUCCGUAGCUGGUCUGCGAGGAUGAUCAGCCACACUGGAACUGAGACACGGUCCAGACUCCUACGGGAGGCAGCAGUGGGGAAUAUUGGACAAUGGGCGCAAGCCUGAUCCAGCCAUACCGCGUGGGUGAAGAAGGCCUUCGGGUUGUAAAGCCCUUUUGUUGGGAAAGAAAAGCAGCAGGUUAAUACCCCGCUGUUCUGACGGUACCCAAAGAAUAAGCACCGGCUAACUUCGUG